GAAAAACUGAAUGGAUAAAUGAUGCAGGACGGGUGCGGUGGCUCAUGCCUGUAAUCCCAGCACUUUUGGAGCCAAGGCAGGCAGAUCACAAGUGUGAAGUCCUUUGUGAAUGAGCCACAUUUUUUACUCAUUCAAGUCCCUACAGCAUAAUCACAUAGAUUAACUCACUUGGAUCGUUAAUUGUUACACUGUAAGAACUCCACAAACUUGAUCAGAGAGAUUCCACUUAUUUCAAAGUUACUGAGGCCAGAACAGUUCUCCCUCAUCCCUUCAAGCAUGUCUCCUGAUGUCUCCCAAAGAAUGCACUCCUCUGGCCUAUGCCUGAUUACUCUGCAGAAACUCCCGUGGUUUCUGCGAUCUCAGCAACUUCUGUCACAGAGGCUCUGGAAAUACUCUACUGAAAACGUUCAUGGAUAGAAGGACACUUCUAUAAAAGACGGAGUUGGUUGUACUUCCCAUGAAACCAUUAUUGAAGACACACAUUUGCAUAACAGCAAUGAGAGAAAAAGUAGAUUCCCGAGGAGAAGCACUGGAAAUUAACAUACAACAUAAAUGUGUCAUAAGAAAAAGUUGAAAAUUGUGGCUUCUAAUGAGUUAUCU
RNAcentral lists this long non-coding RNA (600 nucleotides) under Homo sapiens (human). RNAcentral's name for it is "HSALNT0042425". Lineage: Eukaryota; Metazoa; Chordata; Mammalia; Primates; Hominidae. The record is from RNAcentral.